This 301-nucleotide ribosomal RNA is filed under the name uncultured bacterium. RNAcentral describes it as "partial 16S ribosomal RNA". It matches the Rfam family "Bacterial small subunit ribosomal RNA", at positions 509 to 807 of the family's 1533-position model. The record is from RNAcentral.
CAGUAGCCGCGGGAAUACGAAGAGGGCUAGCGUUGUUCGGAUUUACUGGGCGUAAAGCGCACGUAGGCGGAUCGAUCAGUCAGGGGUGAAAUCCCAGAGCUCAACUCUGGAACUGCCUUUGAUACUGUCGAUCUGGAGUAUGGAAGAGGUGAGUGGAAUUCCGAGUGUAGAGGUGAAAUUCGUAGAUAUUCGGAGGAACACCAGUGGCGAAGGCGGCUCACUGGUCCAUUACUGACGCUGAGGUGCGAAAGCGUGGGGAGCAAACAGGAUUAGAUACCCCAGUAGUCCCUGUCUCUUAUAC